Long non-coding RNA from Cydia strobilella, 307 nucleotides. RefSeq lists it as uncharacterized. Lineage: Eukaryota; Metazoa; Arthropoda; Insecta; Lepidoptera; Tortricidae. The record is from RefSeq and is a predicted model, not a curated record. The transcript is spliced from 4 exons.
GGACGACAUUCAAGAAGACCUUAAAUCUGGAAAUCCACUGGACAACGAAAACGGUAUAGCUCAUGAUGAGGUCAGUCGCGACGUGGAGCCGUUUGAAGAUACGCCUACGUCUGCUGCAUCAUUCCCUCACACCAGAGAACUCCUCGUUUACGGAAAUAUAGACAAUCUCGGCAUAAGAUAUGGAAAAACAAAUCAACGAGUAUUGUAUAGUCAGAGUAGAAGAAACACUAUACUGGAAACCCUACUAAGGCUGUUGGAACAACCGUCGUAUUCCCGAGACCGGAUUCAUAAUGAACCUCUUGUUGUG